GAUGAACGCUAGCGGCAGGCCUAACACAUGCAAGUCGAGGGGUAGGACAUUUCGGUGUCUGAGACCGGCGCACGGGUGCGUAACGCGUAUGCAAUCUGCCUUAUACUAAGGGAUAGCCCAGAGAAAUUUGGAUUAAUACCUUAUAGUAUAUAGAUGUGGCAUCACAUUUAUAUUAAAGAUUUAUCGGUAUAAGAUGAGCAUGCGUCCCAUUAGCUAGUUGGUAUGGUAACGGCAUACCAAGGCAAUGAUGGGUAGGGGUCCUGAGAGGGAGAUCCCCCACACUGGUACUGAGACACGGACCAGACUCCUACGGGAGGCAGCAGUGAGGAAUAUUGGUCAAUGGGCGCAAGCCUGAACCAGCCAUGCCGCGUGCAGGAUGACGGUCCUAUGGAUUGUAAAACUGCUUUUGGUACGGGAAGAAACAACUCUUCGUGAAGAGUCUUGACGGUACCGUAAGAAUAAGGAUCGGCUAACUCCGUGCCAGCAGCCGCGGUAAUACGGAGGAUCCAAGCGUUAUCCGGAAUCAUUGGGUUUAAAGGG
This 540-nucleotide ribosomal RNA is filed under the name uncultured bacterium. RNAcentral's name for it is "bacterial SSU rRNA". It matches the Rfam family "Bacterial small subunit ribosomal RNA", at positions 28 to 567 of the family's 1533-position model. The record is from RNAcentral.